AACGCGUAAGCAACCUGCCCUCGACUGGGGGAUAGCCCGGCGAAAGCUGGGGUAAACCCGCACGGUCCCACGAAGUCACCUGGUUUUUUGGGUAAACAUUUAUGGGUUGAGGAGGGGCUUGCGUCUGAUUAGCUAGUUGGCGGGGUAACGGCCCACCAAGGCGAUGAUCAGUAGGGGUUCUGAGAGGAUUGGCCCCCACAUGGGUACUGAGAUACGGACCCAACUCCUACGGGAGGCAGCAGUAGGGAAUAUUGGGCAAUGGGCGCAAGCCUGACCCAGCCAUGCCGCGUGCAGGAUGAAGGCGCUCAGCGUUGUAAACUGCUUUUAUCGGUGAAGAACGGCAGUCCUGCGGGAUUGUGUGACGGUAGCCGAGGAAUAAGCACCGGCUAACUCCGUGCCAGCAGCCGCGGUAAUACGGAGGGUGCAAGCGUUGUCCGGAUUUAUUGGGUUUAAAGGGUGCGUAGGUGGUCGUCUAAGUCUGGUUUUAAAGUUGGCUGCUUAACAGUCAAAGGUGGCUGGAAACUGGACGACUUGAAUGGGAUGGCGGUAGCCGGAAUGGGUCAUGUAGCGGUGAAAUGCAUAGAUAUGACCCGG
This 594-nucleotide ribosomal RNA is filed under the name uncultured bacterium. Its description in RNAcentral is "bacterial SSU rRNA". It matches the Rfam family "Bacterial small subunit ribosomal RNA", at positions 112 to 704 of the family's 1533-position model. The record is from RNAcentral.